UACGUAGGUGGCAAGCGUUGUCCGGAUUUACUGGGCGUAAAGAGCGCGCAGGCGGUCGUUCAAGUCGCGUGUGAAAGCCCCCGGCUCAACUGGGGAGGGUCACGCGAUACUGAUCGACUCGAAGGCAGGAGAGGGAAGUGGAAUUCCAGGUGUAGCGGUGAAAUGCGUAGAUAUCUGGAGGAACACCGGUGGCGAAGGCGGCAUCCUGGACCGGUAUUGACACUGAGGCGCGAAAGCCAGGGGAGCAAACGGG
RNAcentral lists this ribosomal RNA (253 nucleotides) under uncultured bacterium. Its description in RNAcentral is "partial 16S ribosomal RNA". It matches the Rfam family "Bacterial small subunit ribosomal RNA", at positions 524 to 776 of the family's 1533-position model. The record is from RNAcentral.